This 640-nucleotide long non-coding RNA is filed under the name Oryza sativa Indica Group (long-grained rice). RNAcentral describes it as "lncRNA OsMH63_06G012770". The record is from RNAcentral. Lineage: Eukaryota; Viridiplantae; Streptophyta; Magnoliopsida; Poales; Poaceae.
AUGCCAACAGUAUGUACAUUUGCAAAAAGUAGAACCAACAAUUUGGACGACUACUCUAUCUUCCAGUUCCAAGAAAUAGGGCAAUUUAUAGCCCCCUAUCACCAAGGCCAUUUCUUUUGGAGGAGGACGACGAGCGGACGACAAAGCCUUGCCUCGCUGCUCGCCGCUACCGCGCCCGACUGCCGCCACCCCGUUGGUGAAGAGGCGGCGCUGGCGGUUGCGGACGGUGACGGCGCGGCCCUCGGCGAGGACGUGGGGGAGGUAGGCGUUCUCGACAAGUGCGUGGUGGCGGUGGUGGAAGGUGGCGCCGCGGAAGUCGUCGGCGACAACCUCGUGGUCGUCGACGGCGAGGGCCAAGCGGUCGGCACCCUCGGCGAGGUCUUGACGGCCACCUCGCUGCUCGCCGCCACGCCCGGCCACCGUCGUGACUGCCACCGCGCCCGACCGCCGCCUCGCCCCGGCGGCCGCCUCGUCCCGGCGGCCGCCUCGCCCGGCUCGCCCGGUCGCCGCCUCGCCCAGCCGCCGCCUCGUCCCAGCAGCCGCCUUGCCCAGGCCGCCGCCUCGCCUAGGCCGCCGCCUCGCCCUUCCGCUGCCUCUACCGACCGCCGCCACCUCGCCCCAGCCGGUUGAGGGAGUUGUU